AUGGUCCAGAAGGACCACCGGGUUUCAGGGGAAGAGAUGGUCAGCCUGGACCCCGUGGAGAGCCAGGACCCCCAGGAGCUGGAGAGAAGGGUGAAAGGGGUAUUCCUGGUCUUCCUGGCUCUCCUGGUCUUGUUGGUCCACCUGGGCCUAAAGGUGCUAGUGGUUUACAUGGUGAACAAGGCCCUCAAGGCUUCAGAGGUGAACCUGGCCCUGCCGGGCCUAAAGGUGAAAGAGGUCCCUCCGGUCCACCUGGAAUUAAAGGUGAUCAUGGUGAUAGAGGAGAAAAUGGAAUGCCAGGUGUUCCUGGUGCUGCAGGACGACAAGGGCCAUCUGGUGAGAAAGGAGCUAAAGGAUCAGCAGGUGAUUCAUCUGUAGGAACAGACACAAACCUGAGAUUUUUGGCUUUUUGCCAUUUUAUUGU
This 421-nucleotide long non-coding RNA is filed under the name Sinocyclocheilus grahami. RNAcentral's name for it is "lncRNA (ENSSGRG00000022195.1)". Lineage: Eukaryota; Metazoa; Chordata; Actinopteri; Cypriniformes; Cyprinidae. The record is from RNAcentral.